Molecule: long non-coding RNA, 253 nt
Organism: Limulus polyphemus (Atlantic horseshoe crab)
Lineage: Eukaryota; Metazoa; Arthropoda; Merostomata; Xiphosura; Limulidae
Exons: 3
Source: RefSeq, a predicted model, not a curated record
UCUCGCUGUUUAGCCUAUUGUCGAAAUGUGUUGGAAUUUGAUGAAAUACCUACCAGAAACUGCAGCUAUCCAGGAAAACUUCAACGCUGUUAUUGCCAGUUAUAUAAGUACUAUUUACCAGCAUUACCAGGAGGAGUAUAGAGUGAGAAAAUUAGAAAACUGUAGCCAGAAACCUGAAAAUUCUAUCACUCCAGCUAGUCUAACAUUUGCUCAGGAGUUAGUCAGCGGAGAAUUGUCACAGAAGUUAUUUCUG